RNAcentral lists this ribosomal RNA (502 nucleotides) under uncultured bacterium. RNAcentral's name for it is "bacterial SSU rRNA". It matches the Rfam family "Bacterial small subunit ribosomal RNA", at positions 30 to 504 of the family's 1533-position model. The record is from RNAcentral.
UGAACGCUGGCGGCGUGCUUAACACAUGCAAGUCGCACGAGAACGCUUCAGCUUGCUGAAGUUAGUAAAGUGGCGCACGGGUGAGUAACGCGUGGGUAAUCUACCCUCAAAUUGGGGAUAACCCGCCGAAAGGCGGGCUAAUACCGAAUGAUAUCUUGAAAACUUAUGUUUUCAGGAUCAAAGGUGGCCUCUAUAUGUAAGCUAUUGUUUGGGGAUGAGCCCGCGUACCAUUAGCUUGUUGGUAGGGUAAUGGCCUACCAAGGCUACGAUGGUUAGCUGGUCUGAGAGGAUGAUCAGCCACACUGGAACUGACACACGGUCCAGACUCCUACGGGAGGCAGCAGUGAGGAAUUUUGCGCAAUGGGGGAAACCCUGACGCAGCAACGCCGCGUGAGUGAUGAAGGCUUUCGGGUCGUAAAGCUCUGUCAAGUGGGAAGAACUCAUAUGGUGUUAAUAUCGCCAUAUGCUGACGGUACCACUGAAGGAAGCACCGGCUAACUCC